GACGAACGCUGGCGGCGCGCCUAACACAUGCAAGUCGAACGAGCGAGAGAGAGCUUGCUUUCUCGAGCGAGUGGCGAACGGGUGAGUAACGCGUGAGGGACCUGCCUCAAAGAGGGGGACAACAGUUGGAAACGACUGCUAAUACCGCAUAAGCCCACGGUGCCGCAUGGCACAGAGGGAAAAGGAGCAAUCCGCUUUGAGAUGGCCUCGCGUCCGAUUAGCUAGUUGGUGAGGUAAUGGCCCACCAAGGCAACGAUCGGUAGCCGGACUGAGAGGUUGAACGGCCACAUUGGGACUGAGACACGGCCCAGACUCCUACGGGAGGCAGCAGUGGGGAAUAUUGCACAAUGGGGGAAACCCUGAUGCAGCGACGCCGCGUGGAGGAAGAAGGUCUUCGGAUUGUAAACUCCUGUUGUUGGGGAAGAUAAUGACGGUACCCAACAAGGAAGUGACGGCUAACUACGUGCCAGCAGCCGCGGUAAAACGUAGGUCACAAGCGUUGUCCGGAAUUACUGGGUGUAAAGGGAGCGCAGGCGGGAAGACAAGUUGGAAGUGAAAUCUAUGGGCUCAACCCAUAAACUGCUUUCAAAACUGUUUUUCUUGAGUAGUGCAGAGGUAGGCGGAAUUCCCGGUGUAGCGGUGGAAUGCGUAGAUAUCGGGAGGAACACCAGUGGCGAAGGCGGCCUACUGGGCACCAACUGACGCUGAGGCUCGAAAGUGUGGGUAGCAAACAGGAUUAGAUACCCUGGUAGUCCACACCGUAAACGAUGAUUACUAGGUGUUGGAGGAUUGACCCCUUCAGUGCCGCAGUUAACACAAUAAGUAAUCCACCUGGGGAGUACGACCGCAAGGUUGAAACUCAAAGGAAUUGACGGGGGCCCGCACAAGCAGUGGAGUAUGUGGUUUAAUUCGACGCAACGCGAAGAACCUUACCAAGUCUUGACAUCCCUUGACAGACAUAGAAAUAUGUAAUCUCUUCGGAGCAAGGAGACAGGUGGUGCAUGGUUGUCGUCAGCUCGUGUCGUGAGAUGUUGGGUUAAGUCCCGCAACGAGCGCAACCCUUAUGGUCAGUUACUACGCAAGAGGACUCUGGCCAGACUGCCGUUGACAAAACGGAGGAAGGUGGGGAUGACGUCAAAUCAUCAUGCCCUUUAUGACUUGGGCUACACACGUACUACAAUGGCGUUAAACAAAGAGAAGCAAGACCGCGAGGUGGAGCAAAACUCAGAAACAACGUCCCAGUUCGGACUGCAGGCUGCAACUCGCCUGCACGAAGUCGGAAUUGCUAGUAAUCGUGGAUCAGCAUGCCACGGUGAAUACGUUCCCGGGCCU
RNAcentral lists this ribosomal RNA (1332 nucleotides) under uncultured bacterium. RNAcentral's name for it is "bacterial SSU rRNA". It matches the Rfam family "Bacterial small subunit ribosomal RNA", at positions 28 to 1381 of the family's 1533-position model. The record is from RNAcentral.